RNAcentral lists this small RNA (554 nucleotides) under Pongo abelii (Sumatran orangutan). RNAcentral describes it as "retained intron". The record is from RNAcentral. Lineage: Eukaryota; Metazoa; Chordata; Mammalia; Primates; Hominidae.
AGUUGCUCCGGCGGCGCUCGGGGAGGGAGCCAGCAGCCUGGGGCCCAGGCCCGGGCCACCAUGGCGCUGCCUUCGGGCCCAGCCGCCCUCCGGCACACACUGCUGCUCCUGCCAGCCCUUCUGAGCUCAGGUACACCCCUGUUCAGUCGUUGACCAAGUCCUUCUGGGGUCCAAAGUCCCCUCUCUCCCCUGUCUGCACUUCUGUUUGGGUACCCACUCCAGGCCCCAAGCCCUGGAGUCCCUGUUCCCUUCACCCACCUACCCUAGGUCCAACCAGCCAGUCCCUGGUAAGAGGACUCAGGCGCCCUUUCCCUUGGUCUGCUGCUCCUCUCACUGGGCCAAUUCCGGUCACAGCACAGUACCAGCCCUGCCUGAGCCCUUCCCAGAGCCCCCCUGCUGUGUUCCAGGUUGUGGGGAGUUGGAGCCACAAAUAGAUGGUCAGACCUGGGCUGAGCGGGCCUUCUCUGGAGGCACCAGCACCUUCACAGUCACAGCCCAUCGGGCUCAGCAUGAGCUCAACUGCUCCCUGCAGGACCCCAGCAGUGGCCGAUCAG